ACGUAGGGUGCAGGCGUUAAUCGGAAUUACUGGGCGUAAAGCGUGCGCAGGCGGUUGUGUAAGACAGGUGUGAAAUCCCCGGGCUUAACCUGGGAACUGCGCUUGUGACUGCACAGCUAGAGUACGGCAGAGGGGGGUGGAAUUCCACGUGUAGCAGUGAAAUGCGUAGAUAUGCGGAGGAACACCGAUGGCGAAGGCAAUCCCCUGGGCCUGCACUGACGCUCGUGCACGAAAGCGUGGGGAGCAAACAGGA
RNAcentral lists this ribosomal RNA (253 nucleotides) under uncultured prokaryote. Its description in RNAcentral is "partial 16S ribosomal RNA". It matches the Rfam family "Bacterial small subunit ribosomal RNA", at positions 525 to 777 of the family's 1533-position model. The record is from RNAcentral.